GGAAGGUUGGGGUGGACGGGCUCCUCGCCAACCCGGUCAGGUCCGGAAGGAAGCAGCCGUAACGAGUUUUGGUCUGGGUCGCUUUCCAACCUUCCGCU
RNAcentral lists this signal recognition particle RNA (98 nucleotides) under Alphaproteobacteria bacterium. Its description in RNAcentral is "signal recognition particle sRNA small type". It matches the Rfam family "Bacterial small signal recognition particle RNA". From Rfam's summary of the family: The signal recognition particle (SRP) is a universally conserved ribonucleoprotein involved in the co-translational targeting of proteins to membranes. Archaeal SRP consists of a 7S RNA and homologues of the eukaryotic SRP19 and SRP54 proteins. Lineage: Bacteria; Pseudomonadati; Pseudomonadota; Alphaproteobacteria. The record is from RNAcentral.